Molecule: ribosomal RNA, 908 nt
Filed under: Lactobacillus helveticus
Lineage: Bacteria; Bacillati; Bacillota; Bacilli; Lactobacillales; Lactobacillaceae
Description: bacterial SSU rRNA
Rfam family: Bacterial small subunit ribosomal RNA
Source: RNAcentral
GUAAUGACGCUGGGGACGCGAGCGGCGGAUGGGUGAGUAACACGUGGGGAACCUGCCCCAUAGUCUGGGAUACCACUUGGAAACAGGUGCUAAUACCGGAUAAGAAAGCAGAUCGCAUGAUCAGCUUAUAAAAGGCGGCGUAAGCUGUCGCUAUGGGAUGGCCCCGCGGUGCAUUAGCUAGUUGGUAAGGCAACGGCUUACCAAGGCAAUGAUGCAUAGCCGAGUUGAGAGACUGAACGGCCACAUUGGGACUGAGACACGGCCCAAACUCCUACGGGAGGCAGCAGUAGGGAAUCUUCCACAAUGGACGCAAGUCUGAUGGAGCAACGCGGCGUGAGUGAAGAAGGUUUUCGGAUCGUAAAGCUCUGUUGUUGGUGAAGAAGGAUAGAGGCAGUAACUGGCCUUUAUUUGACGGUAAUCAACCAGAAAGUCACGGCUAACUACGUGCCAGCAGCCGCGGUAAUACGUAGGUGGCAAGCGUUGUCCGGAUUUAUUGGGCGUAAAGCGAGCGCAGGCGGAAGAAUAAGUCUGAUGUGAAAGCCCUCGGCUUAACCGAGGAAUUGCAUCGGAAACUGUUUUUCUUGAGUGCAGAAGAGGAGAGUGGAACUCCAUGUGUAGCGGUGGAAUGCGUAGAUAUAUGGAAGAACACCAGUGGCGAAGGCGGCUCUCUGGUCUGCAACUGACGCUGAGGCUCGAAAGCAUGGGUAGCGAACAGGAUUAGAUACCCUGGUAGUCCAUGCCGUAAACGAUGAGUGCUAAGUGUUGGGAGGUUUCCGCCUCUCAGUGCUGCAGCUAACGCAUUAAGCACUCCGCCUGGGGAGUACGACCGCAAGGUUGAAACUCAAAGGAAUUGACGGGGGCCCGCACAAGCGGUGGAGCAUGUGGUUUAAUUCGAAGCAACGCGAAGA